AUGGUAGGAUAGAGGCCUACCAUGGUUUUAACGGGUAACGGGGAAUUAGGGUUCGAUUCCGGAGAGGGAGCCUGAGAAACGGCUACCACAUCCAAGGAAGGCAGCAGGCGCGCAAAUUACCCAAUCCCGACACGGGGAGGUAGUGACAAUAAAUAACAAUAUGGGGCUCUUACGAGUCUUGUAAUUGGAAUGAGUACAAUUUAAAUCUCUUAACGAGGAACAAUUGGAGGGCAAGUCUGGUGCCAGCAGCCGCGGUAAUUCCGGCUCCAAUAGCGUAUAUUAAAGUUGUUGCAGUUAAAAAGCUCGUAGUUGAAUUUCGGGAUUUAUCCGUCGGUCGGGCUUUUGGGUUUGUACUGGCGUGAUGGAUUCCUACCUUCUGAAUAACCGGCAUGUCAUUAAUUUGGUGCGCCGGGGAAGCAGGACUGUUACCUUGAAAAAAUUAGAGUGCUUAAAGCAGGCUUAUGCCUGAAUACAUUAGCAUGGAAUAAUGAAAUAGGACGGCAUGGUUCUAUUUUGUUGGUUUCUAGGAUCACCGUAAUGAUUAAUAGGGAUAGUUGGGGGCAUUAGUAUUCAAUUGUCAGAGGUGAAAUUCUUGGAUUUAUUGAAGACUAACUUCUGCGAAAGCAUUUGCCAAGGAUGUUUUCAUUAAUCAAGAACGAAAGUUAGGGGAUCGAAGACGAUCAGAUACCGUCGUAGUCUUAACCAUAAACUAUGCCGACUAGGGAUCGGACGAUGUUAAUUUUUUAAUGACUCGUUCGGCGCCUUACGGGAAACCAAAGUGUUUGGG
RNAcentral lists this ribosomal RNA (787 nucleotides) under uncultured Acaulospora. RNAcentral describes it as "SSU rRNA". It matches the Rfam family "Eukaryotic small subunit ribosomal RNA", at positions 325 to 1111 of the family's 1831-position model. The record is from RNAcentral. Lineage: Eukaryota; Fungi; Glomeromycota; Glomeromycetes; Diversisporales; Acaulosporaceae.